GCUCUUUUAGUAUAGUCAGUACAGCUGACUUCCAAUCAGCCAGAUUCAGCCCCAUCUGAAAAAGAGCA
RNAcentral lists this transfer RNA (68 nucleotides) under Petrodromus tetradactylus (four-toed elephant shrew). RNAcentral describes it as "tRNA-Gly". Lineage: Eukaryota; Metazoa; Chordata; Mammalia; Macroscelidea; Macroscelididae. The record is from RNAcentral.